RNAcentral lists this ribosomal RNA (253 nucleotides) under uncultured bacterium. RNAcentral describes it as "partial 16S ribosomal RNA". It matches the Rfam family "Bacterial small subunit ribosomal RNA", at positions 524 to 776 of the family's 1533-position model. The record is from RNAcentral.
UACGGAGGGGGCUAGCGUUGUUCGGAAUCACUGGGCGUAAAGCGUACGUAGGCGGAUUGCCGAGUUGGAGGUGAAAGCCCAGGGCUUAACCCUGGAACUGCCUUCAAAACUGGCGAUCUAGAGGAUGGUAGAGGUGAGUGGAAUUCCGAGUGUAGAGGUGAAAUUCGUAGAUAUUCGGAAGAACACCAGUGGCGAAGGCGGCUCACUGGACCAUUACUGACGCUGAGGUACGAAAGCGUGGGGAGCAAACAGG